GGUGGAUUAGUGGCGAACGGGUGAGUAACACGUGAGUAACCUGCCCUUGACUCUGGAAUAAGCGUUGGAAACGACGUCUAAUACCGGAUACGAGCUUCAGCCGCAUGGCUAGGAGCUGGAAAGAAUUUCGGUCAAGGAUGGACUCGCGGCCUAUCAGGUAGUUGGUGAGGUAAAGGCUCACCAAGCCUACGACGGGUAGCCGGCCUGAGAGGGUGACCGGCCACACUGGAACUGAGACACGGUCCAGACUCCUACGGGAGGCAGCAGUGGGGAAUAUUGCACAAUGGGCGCAAGCCUGAUGCAGCAACGCCGCGUGAGGGACGACGGCCUUCGGGUUGUAAACCUCUUUUAGUAGGGAAGAAGCGAAAGUGACGGUACCUGCAGAAAAAGCACCGGCUAACUACGUGCCAGCAGCCGCGGUAAUACGUAGGGUGCAAGCGUUAUCCGGAAUUAUUGGGCGUAAAGAGCUCGUAGGCGGUUUGUCGCGUCUGCUGUGAAAACUGGAGGCUCAACCUCCAGCUUGCAGUGGGUACGGGCAGACUAGAGUGCGGUAGGGGAGAUUGGAAUUCCUGGUGUAGCGGUGGAAUGCGCAGAUAUCA
Molecule: ribosomal RNA, 599 nt
Filed under: Staphylococcus cohnii
Lineage: Bacteria; Bacillati; Bacillota; Bacilli; Caryophanales; Staphylococcaceae
Description: bacterial SSU rRNA
Rfam family: Bacterial small subunit ribosomal RNA
Source: RNAcentral